UGCUGACGUCUGGCCAGCGGCGGCGGGAAGACGUAGGUUGCGAGCGUUAUCCGGAGUUACAUGUCGUAAAGCGCGGGCAUGUGGUUGAGUAAGUUGGGUGUGAAAUCUGUUGGCUUAACUGGGAGGGGACGCUCAAGGAUGCUUGGCUUGAGGUCGAGAGAGGGGUGCAGAAUUCCCGGUGUAGUGGUGGAAUGCGUAGAUAUCGGGAGGAAUACCAGUGGCGAAAGCGGCACCCUGGCACUGACCUGACGCUCAUGUGCGAAAGCGUGGGGAGCAAACGGGAUUAGAUACCCCAGUAGUC
This 301-nucleotide ribosomal RNA is filed under the name uncultured Pyrobaculum sp. RNAcentral's name for it is "bacterial SSU rRNA". It matches the Rfam family "Bacterial small subunit ribosomal RNA", at positions 495 to 795 of the family's 1533-position model. The record is from RNAcentral. Lineage: Archaea; Thermoproteati; Thermoproteota; Thermoprotei; Thermoproteales; Thermoproteaceae.